AUUAGCGGGAGGCAAAAACCGUUCCAGAAUUUUUCCAACCUUCCAAAGCAGCGAACACAUCCGAACCACGAGGUGCUCACCCCACCCAGGUGGACUUUCGACUUUACGUCCGAUCUAUCCACUUUAAAUUUGAUGACACGAGGGCCUGGUGCGUAACCCUACGCCGAAGAAUGUACCUUGGUUUCCGCGGAGGCGCGUUACAACUGGAAGAGAAAAGCGCGAGGUAUCGAACGCGCGACCAUAUUUGCAUACGUACGCACCGUCGGCGAACGCCACGACGCGCACGACACGCGGACCUUCUGUGGCAGGGUGUAAACAACUUUACUCUUCACUUUAUGAAUGAAUGAGUAAACGUGGAGUGAUAGGCGGCGGGCCCAGUAUAGCAAAUGCCAGCAGCACACACACACACACACACACACACACACACACACACACACACACUCGCGGGAGGGGUUUGUGCUACAUAGGUUUGAAACCGAAAAAAGGCACCGAACCUUGCAGGUCAGUCAAUGCAGCACCGCUCGAGUGGAAGAUUAUCAGCUUCUUAGAAGCGGAAAGCCAAAUUGAAACAAAAGCAGAUGCAUCUCCAACGGUCUUCGCACGGAAAGAUGGAAAAGAAAUCUUAAUUCCAAUGAAUUUAGACGACGUUGAACUGGCGCGUUCGAUCGACGGGUGGAAAACGGUUUUUUCCCGACCUUAAAAGGAAAAAUCUUCAGACGCGACCAACUUCAACAGAGAUGUUAACGCUGGUCCACACUUUGCAGAACUACACUAUUAGUGGACAUUAAUUAGCUACAAAUGGUGGUUUUACAGCAAGAUGUCCAGAUAUUGUGGAGUGCCUAUUACU
This is a long non-coding RNA of Anopheles stephensi (Asian malaria mosquito), 847 nucleotides long. RefSeq lists it as uncharacterized. The transcript has 3 exons. NCBI's taxonomy places the organism in Eukaryota, Metazoa, Arthropoda, Insecta, Diptera, Culicidae. The record is from RefSeq and is a predicted model, not a curated record.